GAUGAACGCUGGCGGCGUGCUUAACACAUGCAAGUCGAACGGAAAGGCCACAGCUUGCUGUGGUACUCGAGUGGCGAACGGGUGAGUAACACGUGGGUGAUCUGCCCUGUACUUCGGGAUAAGCUUGGGAAACUGGGUCUAAUACCGGAUAGGAAUCACAUGUGGGUGUGUGGUUGGAAAGCUUUUGCGGUAUGGGAUGAGCUCGCGGCCUAUCAGCUUGUUGGUGGGGUAAUGGCCUACCAAGGCGUCGACGGGUAGCCGGCCUGAGAGGGUGUACGGCCACAUUGGGACUGAGAUACGGCCCAGACUCCUACGGGAGGCAGCAGUGGGGAAUAUUGCACAAUGGGCGCAAGCCUGAUGCAGCGACGCCGCGUGGGGGAUGACGGCCUUCGGGUUGUAAACUCCUUUCGUCAGGGACGAAGCGAAAGUGACGGUACCUGGAUAAGAAGCACCGGCUAACUACGUGCCAGCAGCCGCGGUAAUACGUAGGGUGCGAGCGUUGUCCGGAAUUACUGGGCGUAAAGAGCUCGUAGGUGGUUUGUCGCGUCGUUUGUGUAAGUCCACGGCUUAACUGUGGGAUGGCAGGCGAUACGGGCAUAACUUGAGUGCUGUAGGGGAGACUGGAAUUCCUGGUGUAGCGGUGAAAUGCGCAGAUAUCAGGAGGAACACCGAUGGCGAAGGCAGGUCUCUGGGCAGUAAC
Molecule: ribosomal RNA, 700 nt
Filed under: Corynebacterium sanguinis
Lineage: Bacteria; Bacillati; Actinomycetota; Actinomycetes; Mycobacteriales; Corynebacteriaceae
Description: bacterial SSU rRNA
Rfam family: Bacterial small subunit ribosomal RNA
Source: RNAcentral